UACGUAGGGUGCAAGCGUUGUCCGGAAUUAUUGGGCGUAAAGAGCUCGUAGGCGGUUAGUCGCGUCUGCUGUGAAAACUCGGGGCUUAACUCCGGGCCUGCAGUGGGUACGGGCUGACUAGAGUGCGGUAGGGGAGACUGGAAUUCCUGGUGUAGCGGUGAAAUGCGUAGAUAUCUGGAGGAACACCGGUGGCGAAGGCGACAUCCUGGACCGGCAUUGACGCUGAGGCGCGAAAGCCAGGGGAGCAAACGGG
This 253-nucleotide ribosomal RNA is filed under the name uncultured bacterium. RNAcentral describes it as "partial 16S ribosomal RNA". It matches the Rfam family "Bacterial small subunit ribosomal RNA", at positions 524 to 776 of the family's 1533-position model. The record is from RNAcentral.